AGGACGAACGCUGGCGGCGUGCUUAACACAUGCAAGUCAAGGGGGCCCAGCAAUGGGCAACCGGCGAACGGGUGCGUAACACGUGAGCAACCUACCGAAAUGUGGGGGAUAGCCGGCCUAACGGCCGAGUAAUACCGCAUACGCUCUCGAUGAGGCAUUUCAUUGAGAGGAAACCUACGGGACAUUUCGAGGGGCUCGCGGCCUAUCAGCUAGUUGGCGAGGUAACGGCUCACCAAGGCAACGACGGGUAGC
Molecule: ribosomal RNA, 252 nt
Filed under: uncultured soil bacterium
Lineage: Bacteria
Description: partial 16S ribosomal RNA
Rfam family: Bacterial small subunit ribosomal RNA
Source: RNAcentral